Molecule: non-coding RNA, 31 nt
Filed under: Mus musculus (house mouse)
Lineage: Eukaryota; Metazoa; Chordata; Mammalia; Rodentia; Muridae
Source: RNAcentral
UAUGAUCCCCAUUUGUGCUUAUACAUCUAUA